Molecule: ribosomal RNA, 424 nt
Filed under: uncultured bacterium
Lineage: Bacteria
Description: bacterial SSU rRNA
Rfam family: Bacterial small subunit ribosomal RNA
Source: RNAcentral
UAAGGAAUAUUGGUCAAUGGACGCAAGUCUGAACCAGCCAUGCCGCGUGAAGGAUGAAGGCCCUCUGGGUUGUAAACUUCUUUUAUCUGGGAAGAAAACCCCUGUUUCUACAGGGUUUGACGGUACCAGAGGAAUAAGCACCGGCUAACUCCGUGCCAGCAGCCGCGGUAAUACGGAGGGUGCAAGCGUUAUCCGGAUUUACUGGGUUUAAAGGGUGCGUAGGCGGACAAAUAAGUCAGUGGUGAAAGCUCCGAGCUUAACUCGGAAACUGCCAUUGAUACUGUUUGUCUUGAAUAUAGUGGAGGUUGGCGGAAUGUGUCAUGUAGCGGUGAAAUGCUUAGAUAUGACACAGAACACCGAUUGCGAAGGCAGCUGGCUACACUAUUAUUGACGCUGAGGCACGAAAGCGUGGGGAUCAAACAGG